Molecule: transfer RNA, 69 nt
Filed under: Marmota marmota marmota (Alpine marmot)
Lineage: Eukaryota; Metazoa; Chordata; Mammalia; Rodentia; Sciuridae
Also listed under: 3 other names
Rfam family: tRNA
About the family: Transfer RNA (tRNA) molecules are approximately 80 nucleotides in length.
Source: Rfam by way of RNAcentral
GGGGAUGUAGCUCAGUAGUAUAGCAUUUGCCUAGCAUGCAUGAGACCCUGGGUUCAAUCCCCAGUCCUA